UCACACAUUAAGAGAUUUAAUCUCGAAUUUACCAAUUGAGCUUUUAAAGUUCUAAUUGGAUAAGGAUUUAUUGAAACCCUAUUAGGUUUAUGAGAACCAUACUAGCAUACGGUUAAACCUAAUUUUUCUCAGGACUUCAAUUUGAUCAAGUCUAUAGCCUUGAACCUAACCUAAAUCUAUUUGAAUUUAAUUGGUCUCUUAAUUGUGAGCCCA
This 213-nucleotide long non-coding RNA is filed under the name Elaeis guineensis (African oil palm). RNAcentral describes it as "long non-coding RNA (EGUI_LNC050144)". Lineage: Eukaryota; Viridiplantae; Streptophyta; Magnoliopsida; Arecales; Arecaceae. The record is from RNAcentral.